Non-coding RNA from Lupinus albus (white lupine), 437 nucleotides. The record is from the annotation of a GenBank genome assembly. NCBI's taxonomy places the organism in Eukaryota, Viridiplantae, Streptophyta, Magnoliopsida, Fabales, Fabaceae.
ACGACACACAAAACAAAAGGGAGUAAGUCAUUAGUUUAAAAACUAACAUCACAUGAUAAUCCACAUUUCAAAUACGAUUAAACUUUAACAUAAAUUAUAAACGCAAUUACGUAAAUGCAAACAUUCAUCUCUUCUUUCGUUCAUUUCUACGUUAUCCAUAUUCAUCCUAUAGAAUACAUAUCCCAUAAUAUAUAUUCUAUAGCAUGUAUAUUACUUUUAUCCUUAACGUCUUCAUUUCCAACAUUCAUAUUCACCCUAUAGUAUAUAUAUCCCAUAAUAUAUAUCCUAUAGCAUGCAUAUGACUUUCGCUCUUAACGUCCUUGUUUCUCAUAUGUCGUAUUCAUCAUUAAUCGUAUUCACCGAGUUCUUUCACACUAUAAUCUCCUACCACCUCGGGUAGAUCAAAUUACAUCUCCAUACCACAUCGGGCAGGUCUA